Molecule: long non-coding RNA, 285 nt
Filed under: Elaeis guineensis (African oil palm)
Lineage: Eukaryota; Viridiplantae; Streptophyta; Magnoliopsida; Arecales; Arecaceae
Description: long non-coding RNA (EGUI_LNC006954)
Source: RNAcentral
CAACUAAACUACCAAGCUGACAUGACCUGCAGCUCCCCCAAGCUACAGAUGAUCGUACACAUCCGAGUCCUUUGGGGUUCGACUAUCCAAGCUUCCCCCACAAACUCUUGUGCCACGAUCCCGAUCUUGCAUCCUUGAUAUGCCUUUCCACCCCUGGUCAUAUCGCUUGACAAUAUUCAUGGCCUGCUCGCCCAUCACUGUGCAUUACCAUGACCCUGGGGAUACAUGACCGCACCACCCAAUAUCUUCGAUCCACAGCCUACUCACAUAUUGAGCACUGCCACG